UUUUCAGUUUCAGUUUCCCAGAAAGGAGGUGGGCUUUUUUUUCACCCUGCUUUAAAAGCCCUUGGGCCCUUCCCAGCUGGGUGCCAGCCAACUGUGGCUGCCUGGGACACUCCAUCUUAAGUCCCUGUGCCUCUGCUGUGUGUUACUGAGUGCCUAGGCCGUGCCAGCCUGUAUUCAUCUGUACUAUGACCUGAAGAGGCAGAGGCCAUCACUGUUGGUCCGGUCUCCACCUGGGGAAACUGAGGUUGCACAGAAACAAGCUCCUACUUCCAGAAAAAGUGCUCCUGGGACUCCAGGAUACCAGGCAUCUGGACGCGGUGGUACAUGCCUGUAAUCCCAACACUUAGGCAGGAGGAUCACUCGAGCCCAGAAGAUCAAGACUAGUGUGAGCAACAAAAUCCUUCCCUGGCACCGGUUCCAGGAGGACCUCGUUCUUAGGCAGCAUCUGUGUCUCUG
This 456-nucleotide long non-coding RNA is filed under the name Homo sapiens (human). Its description in RNAcentral is "BST2 interferon stimulated positive regulator". The record is from RNAcentral. Lineage: Eukaryota; Metazoa; Chordata; Mammalia; Primates; Hominidae.